This 5822-nucleotide long non-coding RNA is filed under the name Anolis carolinensis (green anole). RNAcentral describes it as "lncRNA (ENSACAG00000040011.1)". Lineage: Eukaryota; Metazoa; Chordata; Lepidosauria; Squamata; Anolidae. The record is from RNAcentral.
AUGCAAGCCUCAUCCAACGAAUGGGGGAAAUCACCAAGAAGACUCAACUUGCCUGACCCUUCAAAACACUGGUAAAUCUCUCUCUCUCCUGCUCGCUCUCUAUUUUCUUCCCACCAUCUCCAUCUUUUUCUUUCUCUUUCUCUCUGUUUCUGCCCUCUUUUAAAAAUCUCUCUCUGAAACUUGACAUUAUGCUUCAGGACCAUGGAGAGCAUUCUACACUGCUAGAUGCAUAUUUUUCACAAAGGGCAUAAAGAACACUUCUCAAUCUGCUAAGUGUGUCUCAGAGAAGGAAAACAACAUCAACAUCAUCAUUAUCAUCAUCAUUAUCACCAUCUUGUUUGUAAAUUCUAGUCAAAUGAAGGCUUGAUGAUGAAAUUUCAGAUGUGGGAAAGGUCAUGCAAAAAGUGACAGAUGGCUCAUGUGUAAAAAUGGCCUGCACAGAAGCUUCUAAGAAGCUUCUAAGUGUCCUUUUCUAAAAUGCUGAUAUUUCGCGGAACAAUAGGUAUUGCAUACAGUGGUGCCAUUGGCUGUUGAGAUGACAGGUGACAAAAUUUGGGAUGAGGAUGUUCCUGUUUGGCUGAUUCUAGCAUAAUUUACUGUUCUAAGGGAAUUAGGAAGCACUGAUGGCAAAAUGAUGAAAGGCAGAGGAGAAAUGAAUUCUAGGCAGAUCAUUGAGAAGUGUAAAUGUUUAUGGUGCUGGGUAUAGAAAUAUGGCAGUACCAUUUAACCUAAUCCUGAGAGGUAUUUUUUACUAUGUCUUUGGUCUUGGAAGUUCAUCAGUUCACAUAUUCACUUUAUUUGUAUUAUGCCAUGAUGAAGGAACAUUACGUUGAAUAUGGUCAAGGGUGCUUUAAUAUGUCAUAUAUUCUAGCAUCUAACUUGAGGAUGAAUCACAUCCCAGUGCGGACUUUUGAUAAGACUUGGCUUAUGUUAAGCUUAAGUGCAGUAAGGAAGCAUGUUGAAUCCUUGUCUACAUAUGAUAUAACUUGUUCUUACGUGAUAGUCCCAUUUGUGAGGAGAUACUAUUCUGGAAAUGAGUAGGGUGUUGGGUUGACUAAGGAAAUCUGGAUUCAAGCCUCACAAGAUUUGUGAAUGAGAGCUUUUCUUGGAGAAGUCAUGUGAAAUGGGAAGGAUUAUAACACAAUAACUAUGAUCCAAAUGCAUGUAGCUGAUACUGUCCCCGCAUUCACUGCAAAUCUUUAGAUUGAGGUCCAAUGACAUGAAAAUUCUGUCAACAGUGUUGGAUCAUUUCACAUGCAAAACUUUUUGUCACUGGCUGAUGAGCAUUCAGAUAUGCAAACAUACAAUGACCCUUGAUUUCAAAGGAGUUAGACCUUGGCAGUCUCUUAUUUGAUGAUAUUUGAAGAAGCAUUUGGUGACUAAGUGUCCCUGUGCAGUCCCUGAAAUGGUUCUUCAAAAACGUUCCCUCUCUAAGAAUUUUAAAGAUAAAAGAGAGAGAAAUUCCUGACUUAGCACAGCUUUGAAGUCCAGUGCUGUCAUCCUGUAAGCCUUUGCUAAUGUUAGAACUUUUGAGGUACAAACCACAAGUUUUCCAACCCAUUUGAACUUCCAGGUUCCUUGGAGAGAGUAGAAGGCUUUCUUCAGGUUUUGAAUGUAGAGGAGAGGGCAAGAGUCAGAUAAAUUCAAGAGUCUGCAUUGAUAGGGAAUCAUGUGAUAAUGUGUGCGUGAAUGUGCCAAGAAAGCACUGAAAGAUGGGGGAUGAUGCUGCUUCUAUCCAGAAAUUAUUUUCCUUCUCAUUUCUUGCAAAACUAUAUGGCAUCAGACUUACUGCAAUAUUUUUACUCUCAGAAUACAGUUUCUAAAUAAGCUUUAAAACCUGUAUCAGCCUAUUAGGAAAAUAACCAAAGCAUUCAUCACAUAUACUUUUAUUAGGUCUUCCUGAAUGUAGCAGGUCAGUUUUUUACUUUCAUAUAUUUCUCCUUAAUGUUAAAUAUUAACACCACACUAAAAAAAAAGGAAAGCAAGGAAAUGAUGCUAAAAGGCAUGCUUUUAAAAAAUCCAGGAUGCAUUUUUUUCCACUCAAAAUGGAAUAUAGGAAGUUGUCCUCUUCCACCCCAGAUUAUUUGACCUUCUACUUCUCUCUUCACACACAGUCCAAUAACUGACUCCUGAUUGCUGUAUCUGAAAAUACCAGAAUCUUUUGCAUGCAAAGCAAGUUCUUUGCCUUAAAAGUUAUGGUGUUCCUUUCCCUAGAAACAAGAGAAAGGGAGGUUGCUUGGUAAAUUCCAUAGGGUGUUCCAAGUUUGUUGCACAAAGAGCUUGGGGUGCAGAAAGCCAUUGUUGGACUAAGUGUCUUCAACCCUGAUCCUUUCCUUUUCAACAAGGAUGCAGUUUUAACAAAUCGGAGCACGUACAAAUAACUAAUAAGGCCCUGUUAAACCAGAAAGAUCUUGAUCAAGACUCUCUCCAUUAAUGAUUUGGAGCUUCCAAACUGAGUUUUCUUUUUGGCUGCUUCUGAUCAUUCCUCCCAGGAAAAUGAGAGUUAUAAUGCUGUUGGCUCCUGGCAAAUGAUUGAUCUCAUCACACUCAGAAACAAACUCCCUAUCUUCUGGGAAUUAAGAUACAGAAUGUUGCAAUGCAGAAAGCACCCUAUGUUGAAUAGCAACAAUAAUUGAUGGAUCCAACAGUGAGUAGCAUCACUAGGUUUGGUGUCACCCGGUAUGGUCGACAUGGUGUCACCCAAGUGGACAUUCUCUUAGACCAAAUCAGACCACAAUAUUUAGCUAAAAUGCCCCGCAAAAUUUUGGACAGGAUCAGUGGCUAUAAAAAAAUAGUAGUGAUGAAAACAAGAGCACGUUACUUGUAUCACAUGCAGAUAAAAACACAUGAUUUAAAAUAUCAUGGUAACUGAGUACUAAUGACAGCUCUGACCGAAGCACAUGAGCAUUAGAAGGUUCAAGAGGAAAUUAGCAUAGAUUUUUAGCCUUGUAGUUAUAUCAAUAUAGUACAUGUAAGGUGAGCUUAUGAAAAUGUUUUUGGAGUUCAAACUACAAGCAUAUCUUGAUUAAAAACUUAUAAAUUUCUGCUGAAACACUGCACAAAUUUUAUAGACAGUUAUGUUGGUGUCACCCCCUGUGAGUGCAGUCAGCAACUCCUCUAGUGAUGCUUCUGCUGAAAGUGAUGAUAUUUCCUGGUGGCUAUUGCUCAGCCAUGGAAAGAUAGGAAGCUGCCUUGUUCUCAGUCUGUUUUUCGGUUCUGCGUGUCUAGUCCAACUGGGUUGGCUACUGUAAGUGACAGCAGCUCUACAAGGAGAUCUGUUCCAUCAGCUGCUUCUUGGUUGCAGGAAAUGCUUGAGAGCAUAACCUCGGGCUUUUUUCUAGGCUGAACAGAUCUUCUAUCACAGAUCUAUGGUCUUUCCCAUAGGCACUCUCUCUCCAUAAAUCUUGUGAAAGGCUUUGGGCUUUUGCAAAGCAAGUGUUCCAACCAUGCACCAAUUUCCAAAAUAACAAAAAGUUAAAAAAAAAAAAACAGCAAAAGAAAGAGUAACCUGUUCCACUUAGAAAGUGCUGUUAGUUCCAAUUAUCUGCCCCAUCUUUGCACAUGUAAGAUGAGUUGAGGCGAAGGAUGAACUUAGAUGAUAACUGUGAUUAUGUUGUCAAAUGUUGGGUCCUCCCAGCACACAAUAAUUUCCAAUCUGUUCCAGUAAAACAUGCAGAGGUCAAAGGCAGGAACACAAAAUGAUUUAUUCAGCUCUGGGCAGAUCAGACACUGGGGGCAAACAGUUCCCAAAUCCAGAUUGGUUUCAAUGUACAAGCAUAGACAUUAUAUAGAAAAACAGGCACAUCUGGUAACAUGACAAACAGGUGAACCUUCUAGAAUCUGCAGCAUCAUUGGGCAAAGGGGCUUGCCCGCUCCUGGCUGCUGAUUGGCUAGAAGUUUAAAUGUCAGUGAAUCUUGGAUGUGGAUUGACUGAGUGGUCUGUUAGGAAAUAUAAUAAACUGUCAUUGGUUACAUUUGCUGUCCAUUUGUGUCCACUUUCUGGAGGUUGGGAAGGAAUAUGGACUGGGUUUACUCCCAGUGGUGUAGGUCCUAGGAGAUUGACAGACAAUGGGUGGCUGGCAGUCUUGAUGGGUUAUAGAAUUAGGACAAAGGGUGGUGAGUGAAGUUUAAUGGAUUUCUACCCAUGGUCAUGGUUUGAGUCCUUUGUGAGGUGAGUAAGUUGGCAGGGUGCUGCUCCCCGCUCAUUGUGAGAGUGCAAGUCAUAAAUGUGUAUAAAUUGUGCCUACUUAACUUAUGAAUGGGCAAGGUGUGGGAAAGAGGAUCUACAUGAGUUUCAAGGAGUACCAAAAAUUGAGACAGGGAGAACUUUCCAGAUCAUCUAGACUGACCCUUAUAGAAUCUCCAAUUUGAUCAGGGGUUGAUAACAAUUGGAAAUACCAGUUGUCUGCAAAGUUACAGAAUACCGAAUAUUGAAAAAUAGUUGAAAUACACUGUCAACAAUCCCCUGUCAACCUGAGCUUUUUCACCUCUGUGUGAGAGCAGGAAAACAGUACCCCCCCCCCAAUUAAUGGAUUAAAAAAGAGUCUGAUCACAAUAUGAUAGAUUCUGCACUAAAAAUAAGUCAACAGUGGUUUAGCACAGAAGUCUUGACCUGCAAAAAUACAAACAAAGGUUUAUUCAUUGGACAGAAAGCUUUGAAAAUGUCCAUUCUUGUGUUAAGAACAAAAUAAGCAAACAUUUACAUUUCUGUAAAUGGGCUGUUAAUCAAUUAAUUCAGUUUCUGAUGCUUGAUAGCCUAUGCUAUCUUGGAGGAUUGCAAUAAGGAUUAAAAGGGACCUAAAUAUUUUACAGGGAUAGUCCUUGAUGGAGGCAUCAUCUAUUUGAAAUCUGGCUCAAAAAUAGACAGAUACAGUAGAGUCUCACUUAUCCAACAUAAACGGGCCUGCAGAACGUUUGGAUAAGCGAAUAUCUUGGAUAAUAAGGAGAGAUUAAGGAAUAGCCUAUUAAACAUCAAAUUAGGUUAUGAUUUUACAAAUUAAGCACCAAAACAUCAUGUUAUACAACAAAUUUGACAGAAAAAGUAGUUCAAUACGCAGUAAUGUUAUGUAGUAAUUACUGUAUUUAUGAAUUUAGCACCAAAAUAUCAUGAUGUAUUGUAAACAUUGACUACAAAAAUGCGUUGGAUAAUCCAGAAUGUUGGAUAAGUGAGACUCUACUGUAACAAGAAAAGGCAAAGAUGUUGGAGCUACUCGACAACAAUGAGCACCUAGAUUCGCCAAGCAAAUGGGUCACCUGCUCACAUCUUUGGAAAGCUGUGUUGUAUUUCAGUAUUAAAUUAUAGCUCUCCUUUCAAAAUUAGCAUCUGUUCAUGCAAAACAGAAUGUGGUGACUCUGUGCAAAUUGGUCUCUUCUUUUGUCCCCUCUUUUCGGCACGUAUACAUGGUCAUCCUGGUCUAGAGUCAUGUCAAUCCAUUAUGCUCCCUCUUCCCUUGUUGCUCCCCAAUAGGAUGAAUCCCAUCUCUCAGCCUCCUUUUUUCCCUCAGAUCCACCAGUAUAAUUUUGCCCUUUAAGUUGACGUGAAUCCUUUUAAAAUGCAUCUCACAUUUUCCCGCUGUGAAGGUGCAAGCACUAGAAGCAAUUAAUCAAGGCAUCAGUGCUGUUGAGUUGCUUUUCUCAGAUCAGCUGGGCUGGUGGAAGUGGGCCUGGGUAGCUGGGUGUCACUGCAGUUCUUUAAGUAGACUGACCUUUGCACCAAUAGUGUGUUACAUUUGACUGGAGGCUCAGGUAAAGAAAUUGUCUUGCCAUGGGUAGUACUGUUAUUAUCAUCAUCAUAACACCACCAGAAAAUGAACUUUCAUGGA